Non-coding RNA from Acanthosepion pharaonis, 110 nucleotides. The record is from the annotation of a GenBank genome assembly. NCBI's taxonomy places the organism in Eukaryota, Metazoa, Mollusca, Cephalopoda, Sepiida, Sepiidae.
GGCUACAUCCUGGCGAAACACUGGUUCCCACACAAUCACCGAAGUUAAGCCAUAUUGAGCCGGCUUAGUACCUAGAUGGGUAACCGCUUGUGAAUACCAGGUGCUGCAAG